GAACGAACGCUGGCGGCGCGUCUUAAGCAUGCAAGUCGAACGGCAAGAGAGGAGCUUGCUUCUCUCCUAGAGUGGCGGACUGGUGAGGAACACGUGGGUAAUCUACCCUUAAGAUGGGGAUAGCUGCUAGAAAUAGCAGGUAAUACCGAAUACACUCGGCAUAUCACAAGAGGUGUUGAGGAAAGGAAGCUACGGCUUCGCUUGAGGAUGAGCUUGCGUCCCAUUAGCUAGUUGGUGAGGUAAAGGCCCACCAAGGCGACGAUGGGUAUCCGGCCUGAGAGGGUGAACGGACACAUUGGGACUGAGAUACGGCCCAAACUCCUACGGGAGGCAGCAGCUAAGAAUAUUCCGCAAUGGACGGAAGUCUGACGGAGCGACGCCGCGUGGAUGAAGAAGGCUGAAAAGUUGUAAAAUCCUUUUGUUGAUGAAGAAUAAGGGUGAGAGGGAAUGCUCAUCUGAUGACGGUAAUCGACGAAUAAGCCCCGGCUAAUUACGUG
Molecule: ribosomal RNA, 497 nt
Filed under: uncultured bacterium
Lineage: Bacteria
Description: partial 16S ribosomal RNA
Rfam family: Bacterial small subunit ribosomal RNA
Source: RNAcentral